GACGAACGCUGGCGGCGUGCUUAACACAUGCAAGUCGAACGGAAAGGCCCUGCUUUUGUGGGGUGCUCGAGUGGCGAACGGGUGAGUAGCACGUGAGUAACCUGCCCUUGACUUUGGGAUAACUUCAGGAAACUGGGGCUAAUACCGGAUAGGAGCUCCUGCUGCAUGGUGGGGGUUGGAAAGUUUCGGCGGUUGGGGAUGGACUCGCGGCUUAUCAGCUUGUUGGUGGGGUAGUGGCUUACCAAGGCUUUGACGGGUAGCCGGCCUGAGAGGGUGACCGGCCACAUUGGGACUGAGAUACGGCCCAGACUCCUACGGGAGGCAGCAGUGGGGAAUAUUGCACAAUGGGCGGAAGCCUGAUGCAGCAACGCCGCGUGCGGGAUGACGGCCUUCGGGUUGUAAACCGCUUUCGCCUGUGACGAAGCGUGAGUGACGGCAAUGGGUAAAGAAGCACCGGCUAACUACGUG
This 468-nucleotide ribosomal RNA is filed under the name uncultured bacterium. RNAcentral's name for it is "partial 16S ribosomal RNA". It matches the Rfam family "Bacterial small subunit ribosomal RNA", at positions 28 to 507 of the family's 1533-position model. The record is from RNAcentral.